This 449-nucleotide ribosomal RNA is filed under the name Tenuilapotamon latilum latilum. Its description in RNAcentral is "partial large subunit ribosomal RNA". The stretch from base 298 to 449 matches the Rfam family "Bacterial large subunit ribosomal RNA", at positions 2473 to 2625 of the family's 2925-position model. Lineage: Eukaryota; Metazoa; Arthropoda; Malacostraca; Decapoda; Potamidae. The record is from RNAcentral.
GUUUUUAAUUGGAAUCUUGCAUGAAUGGUUGGACAAGAGAAAGACUCUCUUUAUAUUAAAUUUUGAAUUUAACUUUUAAGUGAAAAGGCUUAAAUAUUCUAAAGGGACGAUAAGACCCUAUAAAACUUUACAUUGUGAUUAAUUUUAGUUGAAUUUGUAAAAUAAGAAUUUUAUUUGGUUAUUUGUUAUGUUGGGGAGACAUAAGUAAAAUAAUAUUUUAACUGCUUAAUAAUUAUACAAUUAUUAGUGAGUAAUAGAAGAUCCUUUUUAAAGAUUAACAGAUUAAGUUACUUUAGGGAUAACAGUGUAAUUUCUUUUGAGAGUUCUUAUCGAAAAAGGAGGUUGCGACCUCGAUGUUGAAUUAAAAUAUCUAUAUAAUGGAGAGAUUAUAUAAGAAGGUCUGUUCGACCUUGAAAUUUUUACAUGAUUUGAGUUCAGACCGGCGUGAG